This 867-nucleotide ribosomal RNA is filed under the name Wolbachia endosymbiont of Mycopsylla proxima. Its description in RNAcentral is "bacterial LSU rRNA". It matches the Rfam family "Bacterial large subunit ribosomal RNA", at positions 1 to 920 of the family's 2925-position model. The record is from RNAcentral. Lineage: Bacteria; Pseudomonadati; Pseudomonadota; Alphaproteobacteria; Rickettsiales; Anaplasmataceae.
UAAAUUAUUAAGAGCACUUGAUGGAUGCCUUGGCGUUAAGAGGCGAUGAAGGACGUGGCAGGCUGCGAUAAGCUGUGGGGAAUUGUCAACAAAUUUUGAUCCGCAGAUUUCCGAAUGGGGAAACCCAACUAGCUUAGCUAGUUAUUAUAUACUAAGUAUAUAAAGCAAACUUGGUGAACUGAAAUAUCUAAGUAGCCAAAGGAAAAGAAAUCAACCGAGAUUCUGUUAGUAGUGACGAGCGAAAGCGGAAAAGGCUAGUGGUUUAAAAAUAAGAAUUAGAAUACUUUGGAAAUGGUAACCAUAGAAGGUGAUAGUCCUGUAUAAGUAGAAAGUUUUUAAAUCCUUGAGUAGAGCGGGGCACGUGAAAUCCUGUUUGAAUAUGGGGGGACCAUCCUCCAAGCCUAAAUACUCCUUAAUGACCGAUAGUGAACAAGUACCGUGAGGGAAAGGUGAAAAGAACCCCGGGAGGGGAGUGAAAUAGAAUCUGAAAUCAAGUGCUUACAAACAGUUGGGGCUCUAUAUCAAUUUAUUGAUAUUUAGAGUGACAGCGUACCUUUUGCAUAAUGGGUCAGCGAGUUAAUCUGUGAAGCAAGCUUAAGCCGUUAGGUGUAGGCGUAGCGAAAGCAAGUCUGAAUAGGGCGUUUAGUUUUACGGAUUAGACCCGAAACCAAGUGAUCUAGUCAUGACCAGAUUGAAGGUAUGGUAAAACAUACUGAAGGAUCGAACCAGUUAAUGUUGCAACAUUAUUGGAUGAGUUGUGAUUAGGGGUGAAAGGCCAAUCAAACUUGGAAAUAGCUGGUUCUCCGCGAAAUCUAUUUAGGUAGAGCGUUGUAUGUAUGUUGUUGGGGGUAGAGCACUGGAUAGACU